This 373-nucleotide ribosomal RNA is filed under the name uncultured organism. RNAcentral's name for it is "partial 16S ribosomal RNA". It matches the Rfam family "Bacterial small subunit ribosomal RNA", at positions 527 to 896 of the family's 1533-position model. The record is from RNAcentral.
GUAGGUGGCAAGCGUUGUCCGGAAUUAUUGGGCGUAAAGCGCGCGCAGGUGGUUCUUUAAGUCUGAUGUGAAAGCCCCCGGGCUCAACCGGGGAGGGUCAUUGGAAACUGGGGAACUUGAGUGCAGGAGAGGAAAGUGGAAUUCCACGUGUAGCGGUGAAAUGCGUAGAUAUGUGGAGGAACACCAGUGGCGAAGGCGACUUUCUGGCCUGUAACUGACACUGAGGCGCGAAAGCGUGGGGAGCAAACAGGAUUCGAUACCCUGGUAGUCCACGCCGUAAACGAUGAGUGCUAAGUGUUGGGGGGUUUCCGCCCCUCAGUGCUGCAGCUAACGCAUUAAGCACUCCGCCUGGGGAGUACGGUCGCAAAGACUG